Rattus norvegicus (Norway rat) is the source of this 128-nucleotide small nucleolar RNA. Ensembl annotates it as small nucleolar RNA SNORA17. The record is from Ensembl. Lineage: Eukaryota; Metazoa; Chordata; Mammalia; Rodentia; Muridae.
CCUACCCCUAGAGGCAUCGCCGAUGUGGCUGAUAUGUCACAUGUGUGUCAGUGAGUGCAAAGAGGAGAUAGGCUGUGUCUAUGCUCAGUGUUCUGAUCUAUGAACAUCUGAAUGAUUAGUCUAACAUU